UGAGUAGUUGUUCAUCACUGAGCAAUUUGUUAAUAUGUGUUUCGAGCCAAAUAAAUGACAGGGAGAGAGAGAGUGACAUCAGAACACGUCAUACUAUAACCUCCCGGGAGCGGACGGAGGGGGUCAGUCGUUGAGAUGCGCAUGCGCAGACAGAGUGUGCGAGCGGCGGACCUUGACCUUUCGGGAAAAAAAACUCACGGACGGUGACAGCGAAACGGAUAACAGUCUUCAGUACCUGCUGGACUUUGAAGCUGUGGAUUCUGGGACUGUUAGAAAAGAUGGAGGAUCACUAACAGGAGCGUGGGAAGACUCCAGAAUCCACUCUGGCUGGAAUCCGGUGGAUAUGCAGUGUGUACAGAACAGUUCUCCACAGUCGCUGUCCACAUGGGUCAGUGGGACCAAGAAGCACUCUGCUAAUGUGGGACUCUGACCAGCAACAUCCAGCAGGACCCAGACAGCGUUUUCUAUCUCCCAGCUGGAGGUUUUUGUUUGUCUGUGACUGGAGAGUCAGAUUUUUGUUGAGCUUCACACUUGCAGAGGUUAAUACACGCUACUGAUCCCUGAUAGGAGAAUCAUCAAUUUUGGCAACAAAGAAGCCUGGUGGAUGUUUGUUUACAGUCUGAUGAUGGGACAUCAUGCUCUGCAUCUUCAAAGUUUGCCUCCUCAUUAUUAUUCAUACCCAGUAAUGUGAAGUAUGCUCAUAUCUACUAUAACUGAACCAACCUGGUGCUCUUCAUUUAUGGAGGCUGUUGAGUCUGAAUGUUGGAUGUUGUGUAUCUCGUGUUCUCUGGGCUUUGUUGUCCUCAGUCUUUUUGCAGGAUCAGAAAACAAAACCAGGAGGCGUGUAAAUGUUUCUUCUCCAUGAUGUUUCUUCAAAUGUUUCUUCUGGAUGAUGAUAAGACUGUGACACGGGAUGCCACCUUUGGUCUUGUGAUGAAGCAAAGCUCAGGAAGAAGUGGGAUUAAAUGGUACCCACAUGUGUGCUGCUGAGAAGGAUGUACAGGGGCACCUGCAGCCAAAUCCAAGCCUCAGAGCAGAGCGGCAGUUUGUGCUCACAGAUGGUGACGGUGUGGAGAGACGGUGGUGUUUCCUCAGAAGAACCAGCAGAGUCACAAAGGACACCAGUCCAUCUCACCACCGUGACUCGCUGACUGAUGUUCGUCUGCACUGCACAGAGGAAAUCAACUGACCAAGAUGGGCAGUAUAUCAGUCUUGGACUGUCUAACCUGCUGGAGCAGCACUGAAUGACCACCACACAUGAGCAUGUUCCCGCAACAUUCAGCAUCUGAUCUGUCAUCUGUGUGCUGCUGCUUUUGUGUCACAUGUCAAACAGCUGGAGAGGAAACUACACCAGUGUACUGGGAUGUUUCAGCAACACGUGCCAGAUGCUGUUCCUUCAUGGUGACAUCACCAGAGACAGCCCCACCCACCUCAGGACCUCGCCAUUGAUCAUGAUGAUUAUAAUGAUGACAGCGAGCGGAACUAAGACUGUAAAAAUCCACGACCAGAAUUUUUCUUUCUAAUUAUGAAUGAAUACUGAGAGCCUCGUUCUGUGUUUUGUCUGUUUUGGUUGUUUUUUUUUUUACCUCAUUUGUUACUAACAAAGUUCACAAACUCACACAGUUUACAUUCUGUAUGUUUCCAUCUUUACCAGCCACAAUCUAACUGCAUUUAAGAAAAUAAUCCUUAGAAAUCGUCGUUUUUCUUUUGUAAUUGAUGAUAAUUCAGUGAAUAUACUGCGCUGCUUCCUUUUAUUGCGUCACACAUUGCUUUAUGUUUUUCAGUGUCCAGUUAUUUUUUACUGCUGUUUGAAUUCUCUGUAUGUUUGACCCUGUAGACUGUUUGAUGGACUGCUUGUCUUCCUGUUUGUUACCGCCGCCUGUUUUUUAAUAAAGAUUUGGAUUUCUGACUUCAACACAG
Molecule: long non-coding RNA, 1920 nt
Organism: Astatotilapia calliptera (eastern happy)
Lineage: Eukaryota; Metazoa; Chordata; Actinopteri; Cichliformes; Cichlidae
Source: Ensembl